This 406-nucleotide ribosomal RNA is filed under the name uncultured bacterium. RNAcentral's name for it is "partial 16S ribosomal RNA". It matches the Rfam family "Bacterial small subunit ribosomal RNA", at positions 29 to 526 of the family's 1533-position model. The record is from RNAcentral.
AUUGAACGCUGGCGGCAGGCCUAACACAUGCAAGUCGAGCGAGCGGCGGACGGGUGCGUAAUGUUGGGGAAACUGUCUGAUGGAGGGGGAUAACUACUGGAAACGGUAGCUAAUACCGCAUACCAUCAGAUGUGCCCAGAGGGGGUUAGCUAGUAGGGGGGGUAACUGCCCACCUAGGCGACGAUCCCUAGCUGGUCUGAGAGGAUGACCAGCCACACUGGGACUGAGACACGGCCCAGACUCCUACGGGAGGCAGCAGUAGGGAAUAUUGCGCAAUGGGCGCAAGCCUGAUGCAGCCAUGCCGCGUGUGUGAAGAAGGCCUUCGGGUUGUAAAGCACUUUCAGCGGGGAGGCGUUACCCGCAGAAAAAGCACCGGCUAACUCCGUGCCAGCAGCCGCGGUAAUUC